AGAGUUUGAUUAUGGCUCAGGAUGAACGCUGGCGGCAUGCCUAAUACAUGCAAGUCGAACGGACUACACCUUGAACCUGAAGUGCUUGCACAGAAGGGAAUUGGAUUAUGUAGUCAGUGGCGGACGGGUGAGUAACACGUGGGUUACCUGCCACACAGUAUGGAAUAACUAUUGGAAACGAUAGCUAAUACCGUAUAUGACCUUCGGGUUGAAAGGAGCGUUUGCUUCGCUGUGUGAUGGGCCUGCGGCGCAUUAGCUAGUUGGUAAGGUAAAGGCUUACCAAGGCGACGAUGCAUAGCCGGACUGAGAGGUCGAUCGGCCACAUUGGGACUGAGACACGGCCCAAACUUCUACGGAAGGCAGCAGUAGGGAAUUUUCCGCAAUGGACGAAAGUCUGACGGAGCAAUGCCGCGUGAGUGAUGAAGGUUUUCGAAUCGUAAAGCUCUGUUGUAAGGGAAGAAUAGCAAGUGUAGGAAAUGACAUUUGUCUGACGGUACCUUACCAGAAAGCCACGGCUAACUACGUGCCAGCAGCCGCGGUAAU
Molecule: ribosomal RNA, 543 nt
Filed under: uncultured bacterium
Lineage: Bacteria
Description: bacterial SSU rRNA
Rfam family: Bacterial small subunit ribosomal RNA
Source: RNAcentral